AUUGAACGCUGGCGGCAUGCUUUACACAUGCAAGUCGAACGGCAGCGCGGGCUUCGGCCUGGCGGCGAGUGGCGAACGGGUGAGUAAUGCAUCGGAACGUGCCCAGCAGUGGGGGAUAGCCCGGCGAAAGCCGGAUUAAUACAGCAUACGACCUGAGGGUGAAAGCGGGGGACCGAAAGGACUCGCGCUAUUGGAGCGGCCGAUGUCGGAUUAGCUAGUUGGUUGGGUAAAGGCUUACCAAGGCGACGAUCCGUAGCUGGUCUGAGAGGACGACCAGCCACACUGGGACUGAGACACGGCCCAGACUCCUACGGGAGGCAGCAGUGGGGAAUUUUGGGCAAUGGGGGCAACCCUGAUGCAGCAAUGCCGCGUGCGGGAAGAAGGCCUUCGGGUUGUAAAACGCUUUUGUUCGGGAAGAAAUCCUCUGGGCUAAUCUCCCGGGGGGAUGACGGUACCGGAAGAGUAAGCACCGGCUAACUACGUG
Molecule: ribosomal RNA, 484 nt
Filed under: uncultured bacterium
Lineage: Bacteria
Description: partial 16S ribosomal RNA
Rfam family: Bacterial small subunit ribosomal RNA
Source: RNAcentral